RNAcentral lists this ribosomal RNA (383 nucleotides) under uncultured bacterium. RNAcentral's name for it is "bacterial SSU rRNA". It matches the Rfam family "Bacterial small subunit ribosomal RNA", at positions 335 to 704 of the family's 1533-position model. The record is from RNAcentral.
ACUCCUACGGGAGGCAGCAGUGGGGAAUAUUGCACAAUGGGCGCAAGCCUGAUGCAGCCAUGCCGCGUGUGUGAAGAAGGUCCUUCGGGUUAGUAAAGCACUUUGCAGUCGUGAGGAAGGUAGUAGUAGUUAAUAGCUGCAUUAUUUGACGUUAGCGAACAGAAGAAGCACCGGCUAACUCCGUGCCAGCAGCCGCGGUAAUACGGAGGGUGCGAGCGUUAAUCGGAAUUACUGGGCGUAAAGCGCAUGCAGGUGGUUUGUUAAGUCAGAUGUGAAAGCCCGGGGCUCAACCUCGGAAUUGCAUUUGAAACUGGCAGGCUAGAGUACUGUAGAGGGGGUAGAAUUGUCAUGGUGUAGCGGUGAAAUGCGUAGAGAUCUGAAGG